Molecule: transfer RNA, 72 nt
Filed under: Hyphomicrobiales bacterium
Lineage: Bacteria; Pseudomonadati; Pseudomonadota; Alphaproteobacteria; Hyphomicrobiales
Description: tRNA-Pro
Source: RNAcentral
CCGCGCCUUUGCGCGCAAAAAACUACACUGGGGGUGUAGGGGUCGGAGGUUCGAAUCCUCUCGCUCCGACCA